GGGAAUGUGGCUUAGUGGUAGAGCGCUUGCCUAGCAUGCACGAAGCCCUGGGUUCAAUUCCUCAGUACCA
Molecule: transfer RNA, 70 nt
Filed under: Dipodomys ordii (Ord's kangaroo rat)
Lineage: Eukaryota; Metazoa; Chordata; Mammalia; Rodentia; Heteromyidae
Rfam family: tRNA
About the family: Transfer RNA (tRNA) molecules are approximately 80 nucleotides in length.
Source: Rfam by way of RNAcentral